UUAAGUCUUGACGAGUAAGAGGGUCGCGACGGUGAGCGCAGAAGGGUCAGGGCGAGAGCCUGCCUGGAGCCGCCGUUGGUGCAGAUCUUGGUGGUAGUAGCAAAUACUCUAGCGAGGGCCUGGAGGACUGACGUGGAGAAGGGUUUCUUGUGAACAGCCGUUGCACAAGAGUCAGUCGACCCUGAGCCCUAGGAGAAAUCCGAUGACGAUGGGUGGCUUGACAAUAUAUGCGCACACACAAGUACAACAUGACAUGUUGUUGCUCUGUGUAGACACAUUUUAAUCACAGACCACAGACUGUGUCUGUCGUUUAGUUAUGCACAAUGUGCUGCUUACGACUGAACAGCUCCUAUUGGGCAAAAGGGAAUCCGGUUCCUAUUCCGGAACCCGGCUGCGUAACCGCAUCUUUGCGGGCACUUGCUUGCGAGCGCUCGUCGGGGUAACCCAAACUGGCCUGGAGACGCCGGCGGGGGGUCUGGAAAGAGUUUUCUUUUCUUUAUAAGCGUUCGAGUACCCUGGAAUCCUAUAGCAGGGAGAUAGGGUUUGGAACGCGAAGAGCACCGCAGUUGCGGCGGUGUCCGGACCUUCCCCCCGGACCUUGAAAAUCCAGGUGAGGGCCACGCGGAAGUCGCGCCGG
RNAcentral lists this ribosomal RNA (637 nucleotides) under Laodelphax striatellus (small brown planthopper). RNAcentral's name for it is "eukaryotic LSU rRNA". It matches the Rfam family "Eukaryotic large subunit ribosomal RNA", at positions 1367 to 1840 of the family's 3401-position model. The record is from RNAcentral. Lineage: Eukaryota; Metazoa; Arthropoda; Insecta; Hemiptera; Delphacidae.